This 66-nucleotide non-coding RNA is filed under the name Otolemur garnettii (small-eared galago). The record is from RNAcentral. Lineage: Eukaryota; Metazoa; Chordata; Mammalia; Primates; Galagidae.
AGCUACCUCAUUUUAAUAGGGGUAAUUCUUCCAGUUGCCAGGAAUAAACUGCGGUAACUGGAGUCA